Molecule: ribosomal RNA, 253 nt
Filed under: uncultured bacterium
Lineage: Bacteria
Description: partial 16S ribosomal RNA
Rfam family: Bacterial small subunit ribosomal RNA
Source: RNAcentral
GACGGAGGAGGCAAGCGGUGUCCGGAAUUAUUGGGCGUAAAGGGUACGUAGGCGGCUGGUCAAGUCUGGGGUCAAAGGCCACAGCUCAACUGUGGGAAGGCCCUGGAAACUGACCGGCUAGAGUGAGGUAGGGGUUGCGGGAAUUCCCGGUGUAGCGGUGAAAUGCGUAGAGAUCGGGAAGAACACCUGAGGCGGAAGCGCGCAACUGGGUCUCAAUUGACGCUGAGGUACGAAAGCUAGGGGAGCGAAUGGG